ACGUAGGGGGCAAGCGUUAUCCGGAUUUACUGGGUGUAAAGGGAGCGUAGACGGUUAAGCAAGUCAGAAGUGAAAGGCUGGGGCUCAACCCCGGGACUGCUUUUGAAACUGUUUAACUAGAGUGCUGGAGAGGUAAGCGGAAUUCCUAGUGUAGCGGUGAAAUGCGUAGAUAUUAGGAGGAACACCAGUGGCGAAGGCGGCUUACUGGACAGUAACUGACGUUGAGGCUCGAAAGCGUGGGGAGCAAACAG
This 251-nucleotide ribosomal RNA is filed under the name uncultured bacterium. RNAcentral describes it as "partial 16S ribosomal RNA". It matches the Rfam family "Bacterial small subunit ribosomal RNA", at positions 525 to 775 of the family's 1533-position model. The record is from RNAcentral.